RNAcentral lists this transfer RNA (66 nucleotides) under Mytilus coruscus. Its description in RNAcentral is "tRNA-Gly". Lineage: Eukaryota; Metazoa; Mollusca; Bivalvia; Mytilida; Mytilidae. The record is from RNAcentral.
GCAUAUAUAGUAAACAUUAUUAUAUUUGCCUUCCAAGCAAAAGUCCUAAUAGAAUUAGUGUAUGCU